Molecule: ribosomal RNA, 255 nt
Filed under: uncultured bacterium
Lineage: Bacteria
Description: partial small subunit ribosomal RNA
Rfam family: Bacterial small subunit ribosomal RNA
Source: RNAcentral
AGGACGAACGCUGGCGGCGUGCUUAACACAUGCAAGUCGAGCGGAAAGGCCCUUCGGGGUACUCGAGCGGCGAACGGGUGAGUAACACGUGAGUAAUCUGCCCCUAGCUCUGGGAUAGCUCCGGGAAACCGGGAUUAAUACCAGAUACGACCACUUUAGACAUCUGCUGUGGUGGAAAGAAUUUCGGCUAGGGAUGAGCUCGCGGCCUAUCAGCUUGUUGGUUGAGGUAACGGCUCACCAAGGCGACGACGGGUA